GAUGAACGCUGGCGGCGUGCUUAACACAUGCAAGUCGAGCGAUGAAGUUUCCUUCGGGAAACGGAUUAGCGGAGGACGGGUGAGUAACACGUGGGUAACCUGCCUCAUAGAGUGGAAUAGCCUUCCGAAAGGAAGAUUAAUACCACAUAGCGUUGAAAGAUGGCAUCAUCAUCCAACCAAAGGAGCAAUCCGCUAUGAGAUGGACCCGCGGCGCAUUAGCUAGUUGGUGGGGUAACGGCCUACCAAGGCGACGAUGCGUAGCCGACCCGAGAGGGUGAUCGGCCACAUUGGGACUGAGACACGGCCCAG
RNAcentral lists this ribosomal RNA (309 nucleotides) under uncultured bacterium. RNAcentral's name for it is "bacterial SSU rRNA". It matches the Rfam family "Bacterial small subunit ribosomal RNA", at positions 28 to 334 of the family's 1533-position model. The record is from RNAcentral.